RNAcentral lists this non-coding RNA (23 nucleotides) under Arabidopsis thaliana (thale cress). Lineage: Eukaryota; Viridiplantae; Streptophyta; Magnoliopsida; Brassicales; Brassicaceae. The record is from RNAcentral.
CUCCACUCAUUGCCAAUUGAUUU